CAAACUUAUUAUUAGAGAACGCGUCCUUCACUCUCAUUCCAUCAUAUCUCUCUAUUCUUUUUUAUUUGAAGUCGUAUUAAGGUUUGGCUUCGGAUAUUGAUGGAAAUAGACAGAUUAAUUAAAAGCAUAGUCAAGAAGAAAAAAAAAAAAGAAGAAGAGAUGAAGCAAGCAAGUGGUGGAGUUGACUGGUAAAAGUCUCUUUCACGUGCUCUUGAAAAGCGCGUGCUAGUUGUGUCGUGUGUGUAUGGUGUGGUGGAUCAUACACACGCGUGUUUAUGGGUUACCGCUGUGACCAGUCAGAUUCUGAGUUAAAUUUGUCUAGAAUAAGUAAGUAGUAGUUGUGGCUAUCAAUAAUCUCCACCCAAAUUUACCAUUUCACAAUUCACCACUACAAAUAAGAACAUAUGCUCCCUUAAUCACACCAAUACAUUUUCAAAACGAGUAGCUAAUAUACAAAUCCUUUUUUUUAACUGAUUUCCUCCAUGUGUCACUACGAAAAAAGAAAAACGAAGACUAGAGUAUAACUAGUAGUAGUAGAAUAGUCAGCAGAAGAGCGACAAGGCUCACCGUUGAAUGUUUUGGUUUCAACUUUUUCAACUUUUGACCUAUCUAUGUUUAUGUAGAAAAACACAAAGAAAAGUAUAUAAAAAAUUAAAGUAAAGAAGAAGAAGGACUAAAAUAUAAAGAGAGAAAGAGAAAGAGAAAGAGGAAGAAAGAGCGCACCUUCCUUCCUUCACUCUCUUCAUCGCACCUUUUAAAAGAAUCCUCCUCACACUCCAUUCUUUCUUAAACCCAUUUCCCCCACUUGUUUCUCCAUUAACAAACAAAAAAGCUUCCAGCUUUCUUCUCAAUUUCAUUCCAGGUUUGUGUCUUUACCUCUUCUGUGGAAUCUCCAGUUUUUGUUUUUGUUUUUGUUUAUGUGUCUUAUUCUGUUACCAAGUCUUGCUAUUUCUUAGGAAAGUUCAAUACUCGGUCUGGUCUCUAGCUAGUUUCUUGUAUUGAAAUUUUCAACGGAGAAGAGUAGAAACAGUCGUUGGCUUGUCUUAGUAGAAAAGUAGUUUCCUUUUUUUUAAAAUAUAUAUCGGCUAUAAUUGCGGUAUCUAAUUCUGCAUAAGAAGAGAGAAUCUUAUGAUUUAUUC
Molecule: long non-coding RNA, 1139 nt
Filed under: Capsella rubella
Lineage: Eukaryota; Viridiplantae; Streptophyta; Magnoliopsida; Brassicales; Brassicaceae
Description: long non-coding RNA (CRUB_LNC002833)
Source: RNAcentral